RNAcentral lists this ribosomal RNA (329 nucleotides) under uncultured bacterium. Its description in RNAcentral is "bacterial SSU rRNA". It matches the Rfam family "Bacterial small subunit ribosomal RNA", at positions 32 to 332 of the family's 1533-position model. The record is from RNAcentral.
AAUCAACGCUGGCGGCGUGCCUCAGACAUGCAAGUCGAACGCGAAAUUUCCCUUCGGGGAGAAAGUAGAGUGGCGCACGGGUGAGUAACACGUAGGUAAUUUGCCUUUGGGUGGGGAAUAACUCAGGGAAACUUGAGCUAAUACCGCAUAAUGCAGCGGCUCGACAUCGAGACAGUUGUUAAAGCGGGGGAGUUGGAGCAAUCCGACCUCGCGCCUAAAGAGAAGCCUGCGGCAGAUUAGCUAGUUGGUAAGGUAAUGGCUUACCAAGGNGACGAUCUGUAACCGGCCUGAGGAGGGCGGUCGGUCACACUGACACUGACAUACGGGUC